GGUCGAUUAGCUCAGUGGUAGAGCGCUUGCUUCACACGCAAGAUGUCACUGGUUCAAACCCAGUAUCGACCACCA
RNAcentral lists this transfer RNA (75 nucleotides) under Verrucomicrobiales bacterium. RNAcentral describes it as "tRNA-Val". It matches the Rfam family "tRNA". From Rfam's summary of the family: Transfer RNA (tRNA) molecules are approximately 80 nucleotides in length. Their secondary structure includes four short double-helical elements and three loops (D, anti-codon, and T loops). Lineage: Bacteria; Pseudomonadati; Verrucomicrobiota; Verrucomicrobiia; Verrucomicrobiales. The record is from RNAcentral.